UACGGGAGGCAGCAGUGGGGAAUAUUGCACAAUGGGCGCAAGCCUGAUGCAGCCAUGCCGCGUGUAUGAAGAAGGCCUUCGGGUUGUAAAGUACUUUCAGUCGUGAGGAAGGUGUUAAGGUUAAUAACCUUAGCAAUUGACGUUAGCGACAGAAGAAGCACCGGCUAACUCCGUGCCAGCAGCCGCGGUAAUACGGAGGGUGCGAGCAUUAAUCGGAAUUACUGGGCGUAAAGGGCACGCAGGCGGUUAAUUAAGUUGGAUGUGAAAUCCCCGGGCUUAACCUGGGAAUGGCAUUCAAGACUGGUUAGCUAGAGUCUUGUAGAGGGGGUAGAAUUCCAUGUGUAGCGGUGAAAUGCGUAGAGAUGUGGAGGAAUACCGGGUGGCGAAGGCGGCCCCUGGGACAAAGACUGACGCUCAUGUGCGAAAGCGUGGGGAGCAAACAGGAUUAGAUACC
Molecule: ribosomal RNA, 454 nt
Filed under: uncultured bacterium
Lineage: Bacteria
Description: bacterial SSU rRNA
Rfam family: Bacterial small subunit ribosomal RNA
Source: RNAcentral